This 436-nucleotide ribosomal RNA is filed under the name uncultured bacterium. RNAcentral describes it as "bacterial SSU rRNA". It matches the Rfam family "Bacterial small subunit ribosomal RNA", at positions 28 to 479 of the family's 1533-position model. The record is from RNAcentral.
GAUGAACGCUGGCGGCGUGCUUAACACAUGCAAGUCGAGCGAUGAAGUUUCCUUUGGGAAACGGAUUAGCGGCGGACGGGUGAGUAACACGUGGGUAACCUGCCUCAUAGAGUGGAAUAGCCUUCCGAAAGGAAGAUUAAUACCGCAUAACGUUGAAAGAUGGCAUCAUCAUUUAACCAAAGGAGCAAUCCGCUAUGAGAUGGACCCGCGGCGCAUUAGCUAGUUGGUGGGGUAACGGCCUACCAAGGCGACGAUGCGUAGCYGACCUGAGAGGGUGAUCGGCCACAUUGGGACUGAGACACGGCCCAGACUCCUACGGGAGGCAGCAGUGGGGAAUAUUGCACAAUGGGGGAAACCCKGAUGCAGCAACGCCGCGUGAGUGAUGAAGGUUUUCGGAUCGUAAAGCUCUGUCUUUGGGGAAGAUAAUGACGGWACC